AGUGAACGCUGGCGGUAGGCCUAACACAUGCAAGUCGAGCGGCAGCACCGUAAGAGCUUGCUCUUACGGGUGGCGAGUGGCGGACGGGUGAGGAAUACAUCGGAAUCUACUUUUUCGUGGGGGAUAACGUAGGGAAACUUACGCUAAUACCGCAUACGACCUACGGGUGAAAGCAGAGGAUCUUCAGACCUUGCGCGAUUGCAUGAGCCGAUGUCGGAUUAGCUAGUUGGCGGGGUAAAGGCCCACCAAGGCGACGAUCCGUAGCUGGUCUGAGAGGAUGAGCAGCCACACUGGAACUGAGACACGGACCAGACUCCUAAGGGAGGCAGCAGUGGGGAAUAUUGGAGAAUGGGCGAAAGCCUGAUCCAGCCAUACCGCGUGGGUGAAGAAGGCCUUCGGGUUGUAAAGCCCUUUUGUUGGGAAAGAAAAGCAGCAGGUUAAUACCGCGCUGUUCUGACGGUACCCAAAGAAUAAGCACCGGCUAACUUCGUG
Molecule: ribosomal RNA, 492 nt
Filed under: uncultured bacterium
Lineage: Bacteria
Description: partial 16S ribosomal RNA
Rfam family: Bacterial small subunit ribosomal RNA
Source: RNAcentral